This 2728-nucleotide long non-coding RNA is filed under the name Vigna radiata. RNAcentral's name for it is "long non-coding RNA (VRAD_LNC014358)". Lineage: Eukaryota; Viridiplantae; Streptophyta; Magnoliopsida; Fabales; Fabaceae. The record is from RNAcentral.
UUUUAUUGAUAAUUUAAGAUAGUGUACAUUUAUUGAUAAUUACAAUGAAAAUAUAAAAAGAAAAAUACAUAAUAGUGUUUAAGGAACAUUACAAGAUUGACUAAAAAAUCUAACAUGGUCAAAAAUAACUAGACCAAUUGAAAACACAUAAACUAAUGUUGAUGACGUAAACAAAACCACUACAAAACAUCAUUUUGCUUCAGUUUCAACUUUCAAAUCAAUAUAUGUUGAACUCGUUGAGUUUGCUGAGGUUUCUCAUACUUUUCCUACUUGGUAGGUACUUUCAAUCGCGUUUGUGAACCUCACUAAUUUUUAUUGGAACACGUUGUGCAAGCCUGCAAUAAAACCAACAAACAAAUAAUAAAAAACCACAAUAUUUACACAAUGAUUCAUACACUAUGAAAUAAGAAAAAAAAUAUAUGUAAUUUAUAACUGAAAUAAUAAUUAGUAUAAAAUUAUCAUUCUCUUAGUAAAAUCACUCCCUCUUCGUCACCCACACCCUCCUAGAGGUGCGAGAAUAAAGGCCAAUCAGAUAUGUAAUUAUAGUAAAAGUAGAAAAACAUGAUCAAUAAGAGAAAAUAAAAAUCUGAUUGAAUAAAACUAGUAAGAUAUCAUUAGGCUUUUUAAAUAAAAUAGUAGCACAUGUUUAAAGAAAUUCUAUUAUUUAAAAAAUAUAUAUUUUUCUGUUAUUUAUACCUUUUAUAAUAUCUUAUUUUCUUCCGCAGAUUUUACUAUAUAAGAUUAUCUUUCUUUAAAAAAAAAUAUUUUAUCAUAUAUCAACGUAUAAUAUCAAUAUUAUCCAUAAUAAAUUUACACAUUAAAAUCAGUAUCAAUAUCUAUAUCAUAUCUAUCUAUGUAUCUAAAUUUUGUUAAAAAAAAAUCAUCUAAUAAAAUCUUAAAAUUAGUUAUCAUAAGCAUAAUAAGCCACUUCAAUAACUUUAAUCCUAAGCUAAUUUAGUCUAUCUGGCAAAUGUCAAUAACCUUUUAAGCAUAACUAAUGACAGUUUGCAUCAUUUAGAGAUGAAAAUCAACAAGGCCUGUGUAACAGAGCAAUGAAAGAAACGACAAUGUCGAAUAGGGAAUUCAAGCAAGUCAUUCAGAAAAAAACUUGUUCCAAAUAUUUAACACCUAUCAAAAUGCUGCAUACAACAGUAUAACCCAAAGCCAGAUGAUGGAAAAAUACUUUUAAAAUGCACCCUAAUUAAAUACAAAACCAUAACUAAUCGGCAAUAAAUAAUGAUUUUCGCAAGAUGUUAUAACUGAUUUAGAAGCAAAACAAGACCAACUGUGUAAACAAAAAUAAUCUUAGAAAAAAGAAUCAAGGAUGAAUCAAAGAUGAAUCAAAUAAUGACAAGAGAGUUUAACACACUAACCUGAAUGAUGGAAACUGGUGCUUCAUAAUCACAUUUAGCAAAAGUGCUAUUACUAAAACCUGAAACAUGCAAAGUCAAGAAACUACUUUACAAACUAAUUCAAGUUAACCAAUGUAUUAAGAGAAGAAUAUGUACUUGCUUUAAUCCUUGAUAAAUCCCAAAGAGACUCACUGCAGUAAAAUAAUGAUAGAUAAAGUAAAAUAGACUUGCUUGUUACCUUGAAAACCAGAAAAUAAUUUCAAGUUAAUAAGAUGUUCCAUCUCAAAAUUAUAAAGUACUAAAUAUAAAAUAACUGAUAAUAUUUAAUUACAUAUCAUGGAUUAAUUAAAUUUAUAAAUAAUUGAUAUUGUAAAAUUGCAUGAUAUUUCUUUUUCUCAUAAAACAAGAAAAUUUGUCACUGCACCAAAUCUUAUCAGAAACGAUAUUCAUCUACACAAAGACAUGCUAAGAAACACUAUAAUCAAAAUAAAUAAUAAUCCUUUCACCGCAAAUAUUUUACAUUUAUUUGUAUUAUAUUUUCUCUUACCAAAAUAAAGAUUUAUAUAUUUUUCAGGAACUUACAAUAUAAUUAUUCCUAAAGAAAUAUAAGGAAAGUCAAACAGAACAUGGAUGAAAGACCUCUUUGCUUUCCCAUAUGUAAAAGGCUCCUUCUUUUUUUUCUUGUAGCUCCUUCAGUCUCUCUGCACUUUCAGCAUCCUCUACUGAAAAAAUAAAAUAAAAUAUAUAUAUAUAUAUAUAUAUAUAUAUAUAUAUAUAUAUAUAUAUCCACACCAUACAAUAUCUAAUCAAAGGAGAUCUAACUAAUUAAUACAGUAAAAUAUUUUUCUACACCAAAUUAUUAUCACUAAAUUACAAAAGAAAACAUUGUGAUCCUAUAUUUCCUGCGUGAGAUCUAAAACAUAUGUAAGAUCUUAAAAAUGUAUAUCGAAUACUAUCUCUAUAUAAUGCUCCAAACCUGGACAUACAGUGACACAUUUUUAUGCUCCAAUCCUCUGUUUAGACUUUAUUUGGGUAGAACACAAAUCUUAAAAAUCUACUUACAUUUCUUUUAAUCAAAUCUUAAAAACCUUUCGAUUAAAAACGAAAACACGAUGCAGAGAUACUCACCACCGCACCCAAUACGCAAAUCCGCAACGGCAACAGCAAAAAAACCUAACCUUUCAGAGUUCUUCAACACCGCACCCAACACCUAAAAACAAAAUAAACGCACAAUAAAGGCAACGAACACAACAUCUAAAGGGACAAUAAAGACAUCGAAAAAACCUUUCCUUUUCACAGUUGCCCAAAAAGUCAAACUUCCACCAACGACUUCAAUGGCAGAUAGAGACAAAAGAUACAUAGACCCAAACACAAAC